Molecule: long non-coding RNA, 4544 nt
Filed under: Daphnia magna
Lineage: Eukaryota; Metazoa; Arthropoda; Branchiopoda; Diplostraca; Daphniidae
Description: uncharacterized LOC116932200, transcript variant X7
Source: RNAcentral
GCCUCUUGCGGGUGUGUUGUUUCACUCCACACAGAAACUCAUUUGUAGCCAGAUGGCACUUCACUCUUCUUCCCUGGACAUGUGGUCACCAUCAUGCUGUGAUAGGCUUAAUUUUGAAUACGACUUUUCUGCUGGAUAAUAAGCUGGGGAAAAUCCGAUGCAACUUCGCUCGUAUCACGUGGAGCCAGAUGAAAUUUGGAAACUGGUGUGUAAAUCAGUGGAAACCACAAUGUUAGUAUUGCUGAGGCUGUCAGCUUUUGUUUAUAUACACUUUAUUGAUUGAUGGGAUUCACAAGAACAAUUUCUUGCCUGAACAAGAAGUAUUUUCGAUAUUUUUUCAUACAGUUUAAUAUUCCAUCCAUUUUUAGUUGUUUUUCUGAUCACCAAGCAGAACAUGUUUGUACAGCAAAUUCUAUAUUUGUGUUACUUCUAAUGCAGUUCAUGGUUAAAAGGAAGUAUAUUUCUUUGGUUAUCCUAGAUGUAAGUGGCUACUGAUCUGAAAGCCAUGAAAUUAUUAAAGUUUAAAGAACUAGGUAUACAAAGGCUGAAAUUCCUGAUAAUACUGUAAAUAUUUUAAGGUUUUUAUUAUUUUUUGAAUAAUGAAGGAUUCCCAAUUGCAGAUUAUGGCAGUCCUGAAUGGUCCAUUGCUAGAUUAAAUGGCCAUAUGAUAGAUAUCCAAAAUUACAUUUGAAUAUAGUAAGUAAGAUCUGAAAUGUGCUCUAAGGCUAACUUGGACUAUUGUAAGGCCUUCAAAUUUUUGAAUUCCCUGUUGUAAAUCGUACAAUCCUCAUUUAAGCAUAGUUUUGGAAAUCCAAAAGUCUUGUCACUAGAUGUCUACGCUAUUCUAAGACCUCCAGCCUCAGAAGUAGUCACUUGGCGCAUAUUGGUCAGCUAAGCUCAUCUACUAUUCACGUGGUAAUGUUGGAAUUUCGAAUCUUUUUUUCAGCGGGGAUAUUCUCACACUUUUUACUUCAUGAGACAUAAACUACAUUUUUUUUUUCCACCAGUCAAGAAGUGAUGUUUCAUAUAUUUGGUAUGAGCCAGUAUCAUAAUCAUUAUAUUGCAGGAUGAGACAUAAGCAAUGAUGGGUAUGCAGACAUUGGACCCCCACUGUAUGGUGGGGUGAAGUUCAGAUAGUAGAUUUAACGGACCAUAAUGCUCGCCGAAGUUCCCGACAGUCCAAAGGGUUUAAAAAUUGAAAACAAAUUGCUUUGGCGUGGCAGAGCAAGGGUCCUCGGAAGACGAUGCAGUGGAACCUUGGUUACGACAAUCAAGACUAUUGUUUUAUUGAUUAUUUUCAAGAAUAUGUGGCGUUCACGUGAAAGGAUAACAUGCACUAAAUAGUUUGUUGCAAGCUUUUUUUUUUUUUUAGGCGAUACCAUGUUGGAUACUAUUUAGUUGAACGGCAUAAUUGUUUGUGCAAUAAUCGACGGGAGAUGGCAUCUUGAAAGAGAUGGCUGUAUGUUGGAUGCGUUAUUACUGAGGGCCGUGAACAGUUUUCUCUAAGCUCGAUUUUACUGGUAAAUGGCAACAGACCAGAAUAGUAGGGCCAUUCUUAAAAACUAAGAAUCGCCCGUGUCUUGAAUCACAUGUUUUGGAACUGUGGAGUUAAUGUUAAGUGAUCUCCUGGAUGGAAGCAUGUUGCAGAUGGAAAAUGGAUUCGUGUUGCAAUGGGUUAUCAUAAACCCCACAUCCAAGAAGCCAUAAGGAUCGCAAUGCAGUCUUCAGCAAAUCUGUGUGAUAUUUUGGCCAAUAUGCUUAUUACAAGCAGAACAUUUGGCACAAUCAAGGAAGGAUGAGACAUGAAAAAAGGACAAUCAGAUUGCAGAAUGUACUUGCAUAACAUGCAACCUAAUGGAAUCCUGUUAUAUUAACUGCAUAUUCACACAGAAGCUUCUGACUGAUAAGAAGAGUGUUGGAUGUUAAGACACAUUCAACAUGCAGGCCAAAUCCCAUAUUAACCAUGCAUUCAUGCUCAUCAGAUAAUUUUGUCUUCUCUGGUUCGAUCAAAAUCUUCUUCCUAAGUGAUGAAAAUAUGAAACAUGUGGAAAUACUGAAACUAGGGUAAAAUAAACUAGUUCCAGUUUAUGUGUGGGAUACAAGAAAUGUGAAUCAUGUCUUAAGUUGAAAUAGGUAGUUGCAGAUUGAGCAAAUAUCCUUCAGUGUUUCCUAGUAUGAGUUGGUAGCAGGAGAUAUUGCAUCAUAGAAGACCAACAAUGUAAACUAGUGCACAGAAGAUGUGCAGUAAUGAAUAGCAAACAAGUGACACUAAUGUUAUGACAGAACAACAAAAUUGAUAACAGCCACAAGUUAACUAUCAGCUAGAAGUUUGAAGCGGCUUAACUAUUAGGCCAAAAUGGCGCCUCCCAACAACGCUCUACCAGAUGCUAGUGGAACCUAUUCUUUAGAAAAAUCCCGUCACAUUUUGGCUGCAGGUUUGUAUUUAUCUUGCUACGUAGAUUAACGAAUUAAUCACGUUAGGCGCGAAAUUUCCAUUCAGAUAAAUUAAGGUGUUAGAUUUGAGACAUUUGCUUGAAAUGUAGAGCUAUUCAGCGGUAUAUGUGUCGUAGUAACUGACAUCGUACUUUCAGAAGCCACGUAUUGUUUAUUUACUGUAGUUAUUUACUUCUGCUACUAUGAAAAUCUUGUUAACAAUGCAAAGGAGAACAUAGCUCAUUUUUGACAUUUCCGAAAUUGUGACUUCCGGUUUUACUUCCUGUUUUAAAAUAGCGUAUAGUUGCUUGUGUUUAAGUCUGUUCAUAAAAAGAUUCACAUUUUCGUGAUCCUCGUCAAAUUUGGGGUCGAAUCUAAAGGGUCAGCUCAAAAUACCCGAAAAUCGUCAAAAAUCGCAAAAGUCCCUGAACGAUUUUUGUUCAUGUUGUUUUGUUCAUGAAAAUUCGCGAUUUUGGCCAUAUCCAGCUUUUGGCUGAAAACACAUCAGUCUUAUCCCAAAUUUUAUAAGGAUUAUGAAAAUUCUAUUCGUUUUGUCAUAGGGUCAAUAUUUUCGGAGAUAUUGGCUACUUCCGGUGACUUCCGGGAAAAUUUUACGUGAUUUUGCAGAAAGUAACAAAUGAACUAUAUUCUUCCCAUCGUUUUUAGUAAUUUCAUCUUAACUGAUGAGAUUUGGUGGCCCUUUUCCCUUGUUUUUCUGCUAUCUACGAUAUUGGUUGAUCUUACGACAUGUAUGCGGUUGAACGGAUGUGACAUGUUUAGCGCCUUUUUCUGCAGUGCAACUACUCACUAAAUUUUUUUAUUAUCGCGCUAUCAAAAUAUAGUUAGAUGUCUGAAAUAGUAACGAUCGAACACGUAAAGCGCUAAGUUUCGCACUUCUUUUUGAAGUUAUACCUCUUAUUCAUUGGCUAUCAAAUACGAAAACUAGAUGGCGUUGUUGUUCCCCCAAAUAAUGGCUGAUUGCUUGUAACUAGUGAAAUCGAUGUCUGUUAAUUUUCUUAACUGUGUGUGGUGUGCUUCAAAGAAAUAUUCAUCUAAAAAUUAACGGCUUGUUGUACUUAACGCUGGAGCUUGAAUCCUUGAUACUGAAGCUUGAAUGCCAACAGUUUUCAUCUAAUUAGUGUUAUCGGACAUUGAUGAUCAAUGUUUCAUGAAAACAAUGUUCUCUAUUUCGCAUGCAAGAAAAAUUUGCUUUAGCACCACUGCAUUACAGUGAACCAUGAGCGGGAGUGUGACUAGUUCAAUCAACUUCGUCUUCCAACUUUGACCGUCACCUUCAUCUUUGUGACCAAACCGACCAGCAUUCACCUACCUGAACGUCAUCGCUUCAUUAUGAGAUUGUCAACGGUAAACAAAUAAUUCCUGAUCUUCCCCUUUUCUUCCAACUCAUCAUCUUCAUCUCAUCGUCUUCAAGCUGGUCGUCUUUGCCUCACAGCUUUUAACCUGGUCGUCUUCGCUUCGCUGCCUUUAACCUGGUCGUCUUCGCCUUGCCGUUUUCGCCUGACCUUCUCCAUCUCAUCGAUUUGUCGCAUCUUCUUGGAUCUCGCCUGUCUUCGCCUCAUCGCCGUCUUCGUGGAGCCUCGUGUUUUUGGUAUUGUUUUGUAUUGUAUUGUUGUAUAGUGUAUGUUGUAAGUUAACCCGUUGGCUGCCACCCAUUUUGCUCCCCUUUUUUUUUUAGUUGUAGGGACCGGCGGCGCUGUUCUACCCCAUGGCUGAUCAACCAUGGGGUGGGGCAGUCGCCUUGCGCCUUAGGGCGCCGUAGGCAAUGCACCAGUAGGGACUUCCCCUUGUCGAUGCGAUGGUGGAGUACCUGGGGUGUGCAUUCCCGUAAAGGUCUCCAUUGUCAAGUCAGCCCGGACUUGUUUUCGGACAAGUCCCCCUUUCAUCGAAUCCCUCAGAAACGAUGCGUAGCGACUGUAGUAGAACAACCUAAUGGUUGUAAUGGCUUGGCAGCCGACGGGUUAACUUAGUGUUUGUGUAUAUGUGUAUGUAUGUAUGUAUUGUAUAACUUGUAAUGUAUUGUAGAACAUGUAAUGUAAAAUAGUGGUGGAAUUGUGGGUGGAGGUGGGAUAAUACAAAAUCAAUUCCUUUUA